Molecule: ribosomal RNA, 381 nt
Filed under: Staphylococcus aureus
Lineage: Bacteria; Bacillati; Bacillota; Bacilli; Caryophanales; Staphylococcaceae
Description: bacterial SSU rRNA
Rfam family: Bacterial small subunit ribosomal RNA
Source: RNAcentral
UUAUUUGAGACUGAUGUGAAAGACCACGGCUAAACCGUGGAGGGUAAUGGGAAACUGGAAAACUUGAGUGCAGAAGCGGAAAGUGGAAUUCCAGGUGUAGCGGUGAAAUGCGCAAAGAUAUGGAGGAACACCAGUGGCGAAGGCGACUUUCUGGUCUGAAACUGACGCUGAUGUGCGAAAGGGUGGGGAUCAAACAGGAUUAGAUACCCUGGUAGUCCACGCCGUAAACGAUGAGUGCUAAGUUUUAGGGGGUUUCCGCCUCUUAGCGCUGCAGCUAACGCAUUAAGCACUCCGCCUGGGGAGUACGACCGCAAGGUUGAAACUCAAAGCAAUUGACGGGGACUCGCACAUGCGGCGGAGCAUGAGGUUUAAUUCGAAUCA